ACCCAUGCUGACUAAUCUUGAUACUUACCCUACCAAAGUAUCCGCCUGAGAACUACGAGCACAAACGCUUAAAACUCUAAGGACUUGGCGGUGCCCCAAACCCACCUAGAGGAGCCUGUUCUAUAAUCGAUAAUCCACGCUACACCCAACCAUUCCUUGCCUACGCAGCCUACAUACCGCCGUCGCCAGCCCACCCUUCCUGAAGGCUUAACAGUGGGCUUAAUAGUCUCACCCGCUAAAAAGACAGGUCAAGGUAUAGCCCACGGAAUGGAAGAAAUGGGCUACAUUUUCUAAAAUAGAAAACCACACGGAAGGGGGCAUGAAACAAGCCCCCAGAAGGCGGAUUUAGCAGUAAAAUGGGACAAUAAAGCCCAAUUUAAGCCGGCCCUGAGGCACGUACACACCGCCCGUCACCUCCUUU
This 421-nucleotide ribosomal RNA is filed under the name Accipiter nisus (Eurasian sparrowhawk). RNAcentral's name for it is "partial 12S ribosomal RNA". It matches the Rfam family "Bacterial small subunit ribosomal RNA", at positions 793 to 1407 of the family's 1533-position model. The record is from RNAcentral. Lineage: Eukaryota; Metazoa; Chordata; Aves; Accipitriformes; Accipitridae.